RNAcentral lists this unclassified non-coding RNA (253 nucleotides) under uncultured Verrucomicrobiota bacterium. Its description in RNAcentral is "uncultured Verrucomicrobia bacterium contains 16S-23S intergenic spacer region". It matches the Rfam family "Bacterial small subunit ribosomal RNA", at positions 524 to 776 of the family's 1533-position model. The record is from RNAcentral. Lineage: Bacteria; Pseudomonadati; Verrucomicrobiota.
UACAGAGGUCUCAAGCGUUGUUCGGAUUCAUUGGGCGUAAAGGGUGCGUAGGCGGCGCGAUAAGUCGGGUGUGAAAUUUCGAGGCUUAACUUCGAAACUGCAUUCGAUACUGCCGUGCUUGAGGACUGGAGAGGAGACUGGAAUUUACGGUGUAGCGGUGAAAUGCGUAGAUAUCGUAAGGAAGACCAGUGGCGAAGGCGGGUCUCUGGACAGUUCCUGACGCUGAGGCACGAAGGCCGGGGGAGCAAACGGG